RNAcentral lists this ribosomal RNA (515 nucleotides) under uncultured bacterium. RNAcentral's name for it is "partial 16S ribosomal RNA". It matches the Rfam family "Bacterial small subunit ribosomal RNA", at positions 28 to 523 of the family's 1533-position model. The record is from RNAcentral.
GAUGAACGCUGGCGGCGUGCCUAAUACAUGCAAGUCGAGCGAAUGGAUUAAGAGCUUGCUCUUAUGAAGUUAGCGGCGGACGGGUGAGUAACACGUGGAUAACCUGCCCAUAAGACUGGGAUAACUCCGGGAAACCGGGGCUAAUACCGGAUAACAUUUUGAACCGCAUGGUUCGAAAUUGAAAGGCGGCUUCGGCUGUCACUUAUGGAUGGACCCGCGUCGCAUUAGCUAGUUGGUGAGGUAACGGCUCACCAAGGCAACGAUGCGUAGCCGACCUGAGAGGGUGAUCGGCCACACUGGGACUGAGACACGGCCCAGAGUCCUACGGGAGGCAGCAGUAGGGAAUCUUCCGCAAUGGACGAAAGUCUGACGGAGCAACGCCGCGUGAGUGAUGAAGGCUUUCGGGUCGUAAAACUCUGUUGUUAGGGAAGAACAAGUGCUAGUUGAAUAAGCUGACACCUUGACGGUACCUAACCAGAAAGCCACGGCUAACUACGUGCCAGCAGCCGCAGUAA